RNAcentral lists this unclassified non-coding RNA (156 nucleotides) under uncultured Ascomycota. Its description in RNAcentral is "sequence contains ITS1". Lineage: Eukaryota; Fungi; Ascomycota. The record is from RNAcentral.
CCGAGUACUCGGGGGCUUACCCCCCCGGACUCCCACCCAUUGCUUACCUACCCGUUCCUUCGGCGAAGGGCGGUGCCCCUCGGGGUGCCCCGUCGCCGGCCUUUCAAAACCUCAAGUUUAAACAGUGCAGUCUGAGCAUUUGCAAGCAAAAUAUAA